Long non-coding RNA from Oreochromis niloticus (Nile tilapia), 779 nucleotides. RefSeq lists it as uncharacterized. The transcript is spliced from 3 exons. The record is from RefSeq and is a predicted model, not a curated record. NCBI's taxonomy places the organism in Eukaryota, Metazoa, Chordata, Actinopteri, Cichliformes, Cichlidae.
AAACAAUGUUGUGUUUCAAACCAGUGGUUCCCAACCUUUCUGAUAUGCCUCACAGCCCCUUUAUCGACUCAAUUUAAACUGGAUCUGGACAGCUUUUACCUUACAAUAUCAAGGUUUUGCAGUCAUGUGACCACUAACUGCAUGGUGUUAACUUGUCUAGCAUUUUUUGUAAAUGUGACAAAUGUCAGGUCAGUUGAAUAAGACGCCAAUGCCACCACCGGUCGCAAGGGAAAAAUGUGUAUCUUGCCAGACACCCGACUAUUUGGCAAAAAGCUUGAUUUUGUUGGUUGGUAGUUGGUUUGCCUCAAACUUUUAAAACUUCUACUACUGCCUCAGCAAGUAUUUUAUGAGUAUUUGCAGACAACUGGCACCUUCCACGCAAAUUACAGGCAACCGUGGCAAUCUGCAUUAAACAUCGAAAAGGAAGCCUCCUCUUUGGAGCUGAUUUCAUACCGACAGCCAGCGACUUCCAGCAAACACUCGCCAACCAGUUGAGGAAGCCUGUGAGUAAGAGGAGGUCAGUCUUGCCCUCAGCUGGAGGGCAACGUGGGGUAACUGAUGGAGAGAAACCAGAAGGAUGGAAAGACGAGGCCAAGACGAGAGGUGUGAGUGGUAUGCCAGCACCGUCACGCUUUGCUGGACCUGAAAGGAAAGAAACCACGGCGAACUCACAGCUCUGCCCACAAAGACACCUUGACACGCACCUGUCAGAGACAUCAGUGUGGUUUGCGUGCACGUGCACGGGAAAGACACGGCGAGGAGGAGACAGAAAAGGCAGC